RNAcentral lists this ribosomal RNA (594 nucleotides) under uncultured bacterium. RNAcentral's name for it is "bacterial SSU rRNA". It matches the Rfam family "Bacterial small subunit ribosomal RNA", at positions 897 to 1494 of the family's 1533-position model. The record is from RNAcentral.
AAACUCAAAGGAAUUGACGGGGGNCCGCACAAGCGGUGGAGCAUGUGGUUUAAUUCGACGCAACGCGAAGAACCUUACCGGGGCUUGACAUCCUGUGACCAUCUAAGAGAUUAGGUUUCCGGGUAACCGGACACAGAGACAGGUGCUGCAUGGCUGUCGUCAGCUCGUGCCGUGAGGUGUUGGGUUAAGUCCCGCAACGAGCGCAACCCUUGUCGUGUGUUGGUAGGUAACUAUCUCUCACGCGAGACCGCCGGUGACAAGCCGGAGGAAGGUGGGGAUGACGUCAAGUCAGCAUGGCCCUUACGUCCUGGGCUACACACGUGCUACAAUGGGGAAGACAACGGGCAGCAAGCCAGCGAUGGUUAGCGAAUCCCUUAAACUUCCUCUCAGUUCGGAUUGGAGGCUGCAACUCGCCUCCAUGAAGUCGGAAUCGCUAGUAACCGCAGAUCAGCUACGCUGCGGUGAAUACGUUCCCGGGCCUUGUACACACCGCCCGUCACGUCACCUGAGUUUAGUGUACCCGAAGCCGCCCGUGCAACCGUAAGGAGCAAGGCGUCUAAGGUAUGCUAGGUAAGGGGGACGAAGUCGUAACAA